RNAcentral lists this long non-coding RNA (317 nucleotides) under Nicotiana benthamiana. RNAcentral's name for it is "long non-coding RNA (NBEN_LNC017742)". Lineage: Eukaryota; Viridiplantae; Streptophyta; Magnoliopsida; Solanales; Solanaceae. The record is from RNAcentral.
GCAACUUCGGAUGGAAAUCGGAGAAUGUUCUCCAAUAAUAAAGCAUACCCUUCCACACUUUCUGAAACCAUAAGGUUCCUUGCAGUAUGUUGUCCAACUGAAGCAGCAUUGUGGGCUAGAACUGAUAGUUCACCAUUUGAUACGAGUUGCAACAUGAUCUGUGUUAAAACGUUGACAUUUUCUUUUGGAAAAAGAUAACCAUUCACACUGUGGGCUAGAACUGACAGUUCACCAUUUGAUACGAGUUGCAACAUGAUCUGUGUUAAAACGUUGACAUUUUCUUUUGGAAAAAGAUAGCCAUUGACACUAUCAUUGAC